AACGCUGGCGGCGUGGAUAAGACAUGCAAGUCGAGCGCUGAUUUGAGGGUAGCAAUACUUUCAGGGUCGGAGCGGCGCAAGGGUGCGUAACACGUGGGUAAUCUGCCAUGAAGUUCGGGAUAACUUGCUGAAAGGCGAGCUAAUACCGGAUGUGACAACCGAGAGGCAUCUUUUGGUUGUUAAAGUUGGGGACCGUAAGGCCUGACGCUUCUUGAUGAACCCGCGGCCUAUCAGCUAGUUGGUGAGGUAACGGCCCACCAAGGCUAAGACGGGUAGCUGGUCUGAGAGGACGACCAGCCACACUGGAACUGAGACACGGUCCAGACACCUACGGGUGGCAGCAGUCGAGAAUUUUUCACAAUGGGCGAAAGCCUGAUGGAGCGACGCCGCGUGGGGGAUGAAUGGCUUCGGCCCGUAAACCCCUGUCAUUCGCGAUCAAACCUUAUUAUUUAAAAGAUGAUGAGCUGAUAGUAGCGGAAGAAGAAGGGACGGCUAACUCUGUGCCAGCAGCCGCGGUAAUACAGAGGUCCCAAGCGUUGUUCGGAUUCACUGGGCGUAAAGGGUUGCGUA
This 570-nucleotide ribosomal RNA is filed under the name uncultured bacterium. Its description in RNAcentral is "bacterial SSU rRNA". It matches the Rfam family "Bacterial small subunit ribosomal RNA", at positions 32 to 573 of the family's 1533-position model. The record is from RNAcentral.